GGCUGGUCAGUGGUGUUUACAACUAAUUGAUCACAACCAGUUACAAAUUCCUUUGUUCCUUCUCCACUCCCACUGCUUCAGUUGACUACUCUUUU
RNAcentral lists this Y RNA (95 nucleotides) under Microcebus murinus (gray mouse lemur). Its description in RNAcentral is "Y RNA (ENSMICG00000045983.1)". It matches the Rfam family "Y RNA". Rfam says of the family: Y RNAs are components of the Ro ribonucleoprotein particle (Ro RNP), in association with Ro60 and La proteins. The Y RNAs and Ro60 and La proteins are well conserved, but the function of the Ro RNP is not known. Lineage: Eukaryota; Metazoa; Chordata; Mammalia; Primates; Cheirogaleidae. The record is from Rfam by way of RNAcentral.